This is a non-coding RNA of Callorhinus ursinus (northern fur seal), 976 nucleotides long. The record is from RefSeq and is a predicted model, not a curated record. NCBI's taxonomy places the organism in Eukaryota, Metazoa, Chordata, Mammalia, Carnivora, Otariidae.
CGCAGCCAUGGCUAGCCAGUCGCAGGGCAUUCAGCAGCUGCUGCAGGCCGAGAAGCGGGCCGCCGAGAAAGUGUCGGAGGCCCGCAAGCGAAAGAACCGGAGGCUGAAGCAGGCCAAAGAAGAAGCUCAGGCUGAAAUUGAACAAUACCGUCUGCAAAGAGAGAAGGAGUUCAAGGCCAAGGAAGCUGCGGCUCUGGGAUCCCAUGGCAGCUGCAGCACCGAAGUGGAGAAGGAGACCCAGGAGAAGAUGACCAUCCUCCAGGCCUACUUCCAGCAGAACAGGGAUGAAGUCCUGGAUAACCUGCUGGCCUUUGUCUGUGACAUCCAGCCAGAAAUCCAUGAAAACUACCGCAUAAAUGGAUAGGGGAGGAAGGAGCAGCUCUGCGUGCAGAUUGGCAUGUUAGAUGCCUUCAUGGAAUACGAAGCUUCAGCAAAGCUUGAGUAGUUACAUCCUUGUGAAAAGGCAUUAAAUUAUUUUUGUGUAUCACGUAGUAGGUCCCUUCACUUCUUGGAGAAUAGCAAAUCUAACUUCUUUGUACAAACGUAGAGCGUAUCCAAAGAUUUUCUCCUUUUACCUCAUGUUUCUUAGAAAUUUAAUGUGUAUACGUUGUCUGUUUUCCUAUGCCUUUUAGUUCAAGCAACAUAUGUAUCAAUACUUUUUCUUUCUUAGAUGUAGGAAAAAAAAAACUGUUUAAAGAAAGAAAGGGAUUAAAUAUUUUUUUCCCCUAAAGCUUUCUUGAAGGUCAGGGGCUUUCUCUAUGAAAAAGUAGUAAAUAGUUACUGUAACUUGUGUGAAGCAGUAGCUGGCCUUAAGUCCUCUCGGCUAAGGGUGGAACAGCGAAUACUAGUAUAUAUUGAUCGGGCUGCUCUUAGUUUCUCUUACCCAAAAUUAUUAGAUGAUAGAAUUCAAGAACUUCUUGUAUACAUGUUCUUACUUGGUGUACUGAUAAUCAUUUGAAAGUAAAGACUUUGUCAU